CCAGACUCCUACGGGAGGCAGCAGUGGGGGAUAUUGCACAAUGGGGGAAACCCUGAUGCAGCGACGCCGCGUGUGGGAAGACGGUCCUCUGGAUUGUAAACCACUGUCCCCAGGGACGAAGAUGACGGUACCUGGGGAGGAAGCUCCGGCUAACUACGUGCCAGCAGCCGCGGUAAUACGUAGGGGGCAAGCGUUAUCCGGAUUUACUGGGUGUAAAGGGAGCGUAGACGGCAUGGCAAGUCAGAUGUGAAAGCCCGGGGCUCAACCCCGGGACUGCAUUGGGAACUGGCGCGCUGGAGUGCCGGAGGGGUAGGCGGAAUUCCUAGUGUAGCGGUGAAAUGCGUAGAUAUUAGGAGGAACACCAGUGGCGAAGGCGGCCUACUGGACGGUGACUGACGCUGAGGCUCGAAAGCGUGGGGAGCAAACAGGAUUAGAUACCCCCGUAAA
This 447-nucleotide ribosomal RNA is filed under the name uncultured bacterium. RNAcentral describes it as "bacterial SSU rRNA". It matches the Rfam family "Bacterial small subunit ribosomal RNA", at positions 331 to 794 of the family's 1533-position model. The record is from RNAcentral.